ACGGAAGGCAGCAGUGGGGAAUAUUGCACAAUGGGGGAAACCCUGAUGCAGCGACGCCGCGUGAGUGAUGAAGUAUUUCGGUAUGUAAAGCUCUAUCAGCAGGGAAGAAAUGACGGUACCUGACUAAGAAGCACCGGCUAAAUACGUGCCAGCAGCCGCGGUAAUACGUAUGGUGCAAGCGUUAUCCGGAUUUACUGGGUGUAAAGGGAGCGUAGGCGGCAUGGCAAGCCAGAUGUGAAAGCCCGGGGCCCAACCCCGGAACUGCAUUUGGAACUGUCAGGCUAGAGUACCGGAGAGGUAAGCGGAAUUCCUAGUGUAGCGGUGAAAUGCGUAGAUAUUAGGAGGAACACCAGUGGCGAAGGCGGCUUACUGGACGGUAACUGACGCUGAGGCUCGAAAGCGUGGGGAGCAAACAGGAUUGAUCCCUGGUA
RNAcentral lists this ribosomal RNA (431 nucleotides) under uncultured bacterium. RNAcentral describes it as "partial 16S ribosomal RNA". It matches the Rfam family "Bacterial small subunit ribosomal RNA", at positions 341 to 792 of the family's 1533-position model. The record is from RNAcentral.